Long non-coding RNA from Armigeres subalbatus, 1759 nucleotides. RefSeq lists it as uncharacterized. The record is from RefSeq and is a predicted model, not a curated record. NCBI's taxonomy places the organism in Eukaryota, Metazoa, Arthropoda, Insecta, Diptera, Culicidae. The transcript has 5 exons.
AUGUAUUGACGUUUAAUUUUUUGCUGCAGGAGUGAAUGAAACAAAGCAACAGUGUUUUGAAAUUUGAUAUUCGCAAAAUUUUCGGAACUUAUAAAGUUUGCUUUUAUUUAAACACGUUUCCCUAAUUUAAUAGUUAAUAUCCAAAUACCUAUCUAUAGUUUAUAGUUAAACUAAAAAAAUCUCAUCGAAGGCACCCAAAAACCAUCUGCCUCUCAGUGACGAUCAAUGCCGUCCAGCCGCAAGUUCGACCAGUUCAUCGGAUUUUACACGUAACAUCGGAAGCAUUCUGAAGAUUAACGUCUGUAUCAUAUCAAAAUGGGAAAUUUGAAAUAACAAUGUCCGGACUUAUUGGGUCAUUUAGAACGAUGUGUCUGAUCAGCACCUCCUGUAGUUGGUCUGGCAUCGUCGUAGAAACAUCGUGUUCACAGAGAGAAGCUCAUAUGUGCCCCCUUGUUGAUUGAAAUAAUUCAAACGAUUUCUCGUGGAAAACAACGGGCGCUUUCUGAACCCCAAGAGAUAUUUUCCAGCGCCUUCUGGAGAGCGACUACAUCGGUGAGCCGGUGAACACGACCCAAAAGAAAAAAUCGACAUUGUCCUCGUCGCCACCAUCGCCAAAUACCUUAAUGCGCUGCGCUUACUGGCAGACGAAAUUGAGUAUGCGGAGGAAUAUUUGGUGUGGAUGCAUCCUGGAAACAAUACUCGGAGGCAAUCCUGCAAACAACCAGUAGGAAAGCGGAAUCGGGACUGGAAUACAAAAGCUAAUAAAGGUCGCUUGCUGUGCACACUAUCUCAUGGAAUUGAUUUAGUAGGCACAACUCGGAUUAGCCAACAAUCGGAUACCCAGCAUGGGAGGCCUGUAUGGGGUCCGUCACAGGUGGUGCUGCUGUUCUAGAUGUCCGUAUGGAUUGCCGGAAACAACGGAAAAUUUAUAGUUGCUGGUUUAAUGCGAGAUCCACCCUUGGGCAAAAACGGACCUGCUGGAGCGAGUUUCAGGCAAUACGUCCAAAACAUCAACUCUCUUCCCUGACCCACGGCUGUUUUAUCAGUAUCUGGUGGUACAAUCUCGGGUGGCAAUAAUGUUACGAAUCUCGUAGCAGCGUUUGCCGGAUAGCUGUAAAUUAACAUCUUCCCAGCGGGCAGGAUUCUACACAGGAUACUUCGGAACCAGAACUGCAGUUACUUCCCAUCUUAGCCUAACCAUGAAGCUGAUCCAGGAAUCCACCGGUGUCGCAGAGCCCGAGUGAUUUAAAAGCGUGGCUAUACAGCUUUUUAAUAAUUUUGAUUUUAAAUAAAAUGAUGUUUUUAUUUCCAACCUUCCAGCAGGAAUUAUUAGUUCCUGCUUCCAGCAUUGAAAACAAACUUCAAAAAUAAAGAUUGCUGACGUCUAAUCAUCUUUCUCUUUCAAUCGCGUAUAGGAAGAAUAUGAUUUGUUCGGCCAUAGUCUGAAUAAAUAUAAUAUAAAAAUAUAAUGAAUGGUGGAUUGGUAGCUCGCUUGAAUGCCAAAUUGGUUUAUUGGUUGGUUAGUUGAUUGAUAGUUUGCCUAAAUGGUUGAUUGAUUGCUUUAUUGGUUGUUUGAUUGGUUGGUCGGCUGGUUAGUUGAUUAGUUGUUUUUUCGGUUGCUUGAAUGGUUGAUUGAUUGGUUGAUUAGUUGGUUGGUUGAUUGAUUGAUUAGUUGAUUUGUUAGUUGGUUGAAUGGUUAAUUGCUUGAUUGGUUUAUUAGUUGAUUGGUAGCUUACUUGAAUGGUUGGUUGGCUGAUUG